This 33613-nucleotide long non-coding RNA is filed under the name Cicer arietinum (chickpea). RNAcentral's name for it is "long non-coding RNA (CARI_LNC003277)". The record is from RNAcentral. Lineage: Eukaryota; Viridiplantae; Streptophyta; Magnoliopsida; Fabales; Fabaceae.
GACAAUGUUACCAAUUCAAGAAAGAAGCAUAUUGAUUCUAUAAUCUAUAACCUUUCCCAUUUUCUCUGUACAAACUGGUACUCCAACUCCACUAACACAAAUACCUCUUUCUAUCUCUAUCUAUCCGCUUUACAGUAUACAAUACUCCCCACUACUCUUCCUUGCUUUGGUUCUCUCCUUACGUCAUGCUUCGACUCCAAACCUCGUUAUCAAUCUAACCUUUCAGAUCUUAUGGGGUCUGAACAGAGACAUCACUCCACAUCUUAUAUUUAUGAACUCUUGUGCUGAUAAAUAGGCCAACAUCGAUAACGGUGGCCCCAUCUUGUGCUGAAAAAUAGGCCAAAAUCGAUAACGGUGGCCCCAUCACUAUUUGAUUCCUUAGAAAAGGCAUGCGACCUGUCUGCCGCAUUGGGGGUGUAGUUCUCUCAAAUAAUCAAUAAUCUAUGUUAGGAUAACUGUAGCCUGCCAUGAUCAUAAACCCCCCAUCAUCAUCUGUAAGACCUCCUUCAAAUACAAGAAUCCCAAUAUGUUCCUCCAUGAACACAAACUUGAUCUGCAAGGACUCUCAACAAUUCUUAAAGCAUUAGCUUCUCCUUGCUUGAAUAGACAACAAACAGUUUCAACUAUAAUUUAGGGAGCCCGAAAACUGGCGGUCGUGCAUAGUUCAAUUAGAAAGAAAUAUAAAUUUUUUUAUAGUGUAUCAUCCUCCAACUUUUAAACAACAUGUAUUCAUGAGAAACAACAAUGUUUUCCCUAAGAAUAAGAGAGCCUAGUCUACCACCCAAAACUGAAUUCCCAACCAAACAACUCCCUCUAGCUUCCAGGACAAAACACUCCCUCUUGUUUAUAUCAACUAUUUUAUCACGCGUAUUGUAACAAGGCCUUUCAACUUGAUUCCUUGGCCCAUCUUGAUGUAAUCUGCCUUAGAACAAUAAGUAGGUGAAUUGGAGAAUUUGUUACACUAUGCUUAUGUGGAAAAUCCGUUAGAAGAGACAUUAAUGAGCCAAACCCAAUACCUAACAUAAUCUCUCCUAAUUAAGGCUUGAUCCUAAUUCCUAACAUACCCACAUACCAAAUAGGGUGGAAUUCAAACUUUACUUCUUAAUUUGUCCAAAACUUAUUCUUUAGAAAUGUAACGUCGCUAACAAAAUAGCGAUGCAAUAUUCUAAAACGAAAUUCUUCUUGUCUUUCAUGUUCAUGGCAAGGAUAGAGAUAUCUUAAAUUCAUUUAAUCAAAGGUAGGUACUCGGCUACUCGCAACUCAAUUCAUGAAAACUUUUAACUUUUUCCCCUAGUUCAAUGAAAAGAAAGAAUAAAUCUAAAUGAAAACCAACAUUGAGAAAAUGAAAGUUAGGAUAUGUUCAAUAUUGGCUCGUUUUCCUCAGCUUGUUCAAAACCCAAACUCAUAACUCCAUCUCCUAAAUCAUUAAAGACAUUAUUCCACAAAACACAAAGUUCGGUUUUCUAUUGUCAUUUUAGUGUUUCUGACAAACAUACAAAACCAGCAACUUUAAAGUUCGGUUUGCAUGAUUUUCAUAAGUAUAAACUACAAGGAAAAGUAAAAGCUCACCUCAUGUGUAAGAAUAAUUGAGCGAAAAUAAUUAUUUAUUGACUUGUCGAAAAUAAUAGAAGUGUUCAUCAAUCAAGGGAAAAUAAACAAAACCCUCAAAGAGUUUGAUUUUUUGUUCUAAAAUUUGAAAUGCUUUACUCUAACUAGUGAGCUCCAGCUCCACUGAAAAGGAAGCAAUUAACAAAUCAUGUAUUAGCUAACAGGAAAGCCAAGCCAACCAAUGUCUAAAUCCAAAAUAAUUACAAGAACAUUCAUAAUUUUAUUAAGCUAUAAAACAUUUCAAACUGAAAACCAAAUAUGUGGUUACGGCAUUUGGCUUAUAAUCUAAUCAUUACAGCACAUCCUCCAUUAUUCAAUAAAGAUCAAUACCUCUUAUUAAAAUCUCAAUAUGAGUUGAUCAUGUUCAAUAUCAAUCAAAGCUCUACAGAGAGCUAAAAGUGGCCUUUUCAAGAUGUGUGAUAACUUUUCAUCUUCCUCUGUAUCAAGGAUAACAAAUUCUACCAAAAAAACAAGAAAUUAUCCACUCUUACCAACACAUCCUCCAUUAUUCUCUAAGCACGCUUGAUAGACCAGUUCACAAGCUAUAAUGAUAUCCUUGUGGGUUUGCAUUCAAUGCCUUCUAAAUUUCUCAUCAUUGAUAAAGACAUGAGAUUUAUGUUGACACCUAAAUCACAAAGAGCUUUUCCAAUAAUUAGUUUAUCAAUAGUCCAAGGGAUAGUGAACCUUGCUUGAUCUUUUAACUUUGGAGGAAGCUUCCUCCAACGGAGAUAAUCCGAAAUUACCUAACUACCGACUGGCCUAUCAAGCAAAUUUAAGCUCCACUGAAUAUCUAUUUACCAAUUUUAUGCUAUUUUACUUUUUUCCCAAUUCCUUAUUGUGUACUUAAGAGAAAAUAAAUUAAAAAUCAGUUAGAAAGUGAGAACAAAAGAAGAGGGUCAAAUAAUUAUUGAACUGAAAUUAAAGCAUUGUAAAUUGAAAUUUUAGAUUAGCACUCAUAUCAGCUCAAAAUUAGAACAAAUCGUAAACCCAUAACUUCAUUCAGUAAAUCGCGAAUGAAUGACACUUAACAAGCAAGAGUACCAAAAUAAAAAUUGAAAUCACAAAAUAAAAUGAUUUGGAAAGAGAAUAGAACUUACUUGCUAUUGCAAAACGUGAGAAACGAGAGAGAUGAAACCUCAUUCAGCAAAUCGCAAAGUAAUGACACUUAACAAGUAAGAUUACCAAAAUAAAAAUUGAAAUCGCAAACUAAAAUGAUUCGGAAAGAGAAUACAACUUACUUGCUACUGCAAAUCGCGAAGUGAAAUGAGAGAGAUGAAUUUAGGGUUGUUUAAAAUAAAAUUUACGGUUUUUGGGGAUUAGGGUUUGUUAAGACAAUAGAGAGAAAAGGGUUUUAGAAAUGCAAAGAAAAAGAAAAGGUUUCUAAGUGUUUUUCGAAGGCGAUGUGUAGUUGCAUUUUCAUGGUACAAGACCAAACGGGCAAAACCUACAUUUUUAUGCAUUUAUUUUUUUAUUUAUAAAAGAGUAUAAUAAUUUUAAAAACAAUGACACUCUAAUUGUAGCUAAAAGUAGCAUUAGUGACAGAUAAAAAAUCAUCACAAAAUCUGAGUGGUAGAAUAGAUUUUUUUUUUUUUUGUAGUGAUCAUGCAAGAAAUAGAUUAACACAAAAAUAAGAUUUAGAUCAAUAUAGUUUAGGGUACGAGCAAGGUCAAAGAUGAAAGAACAUUUGCAUAAAGAAUUAUCAGAGGUUGUGUGAUUGAAUUAAUAUCUAUGUUUCAUCAUACAAAAAAUAUAAUUAAGAGAAAACAUAAAAACCAAGAGGUUGAAUGAUUAAUACCUAUUUUAUUAUAUUAUAUAUAUAUUUUUUUUAAAAGCAAUAGUAUUUUAGUGCAAUAUUUUGAAGAAUAAGCAUUUAUGUGAUUUUAGGUGUAUAUUCGCGCACCAAAUUAAUAUAACAUUCUUUUAUGCGUUUGACUAAUAUUAAAUGUGUACUUAAUUAUAUUUAUUUAAUUCUAAAUAUAUUUUAUUUUAAUUAUUUAUUUUAUAAAUUAUUAUCUUGAGAUAGUGAUAAUAUUGUGUUUGAUUUUCUUUAUUUUUAUAUAUUUAUUAUGAUAUUGUGAUUAUAUAUAUAUAUAUAUAUAUAUUUAGUAUGAUUUAGUAAUUAAUAUAAAGUGUUGAUUUUAUAUUUAUUUAUUUUAUAAUUUUGACUAUUCUCUGAUGAUAUAUUAUUAUAACGUGAGUAUUUUGAAAAAUAAGUAUAAUUAUAGUGAUUAAUUUGAAUAUGAGAGUUUGAGUUGUUAAUAAUAUGUAUUUUUUUAAAAGGUUAAUUAUUUUAAUUUCUCUAAUAUAUCAAGUAUUAUUUUUGAAAUAUUAGUAAUUAAAUUUUGUUAAAAAAAAUAACUUUGGUAAUUGUUGGUUUUAUUAAAAAAAAAAAAGAUUAAAUGUGUUUCAUGGGAUAAGCCAAGUAAAACCUAAUUAAAGAAUAAAACCAAACCAAAAAAUAGAGGAAGAGAAAGAUACAACACGACAGCUGCUGCUCCCAAGAUGAAUUGGAACAAAAUUAGAAGAAAAUUGACACUGGUGAUCGACAACUGUUCCAGAAAAGUUUCUCCGUUUUUGUCCAAAUUUCAGUAUGUUAUUUUACUUAAUUAACUAGUCAAUUAAACACGAUUGUCCAUAUAUUUAACAACCCCAAUUUCUCUCUAAAAUAUCUGAUUUCUCCUUUUGUCGAAUUCGUUAUUUUGCAUCGUUCUCCUUCACCGUAUGUCCGAUUUGAGUGAAACCAACGCCAAAACGACAGUGUGAAAAGUUUUGAAUUCCUCGACCGAAUUUCGAAUUUAGUUUUUAGAGUAUCUUCCCAUAAUUUACUUUUAACGUUUACUCAUAAAUUGUUGAGUUAGAUCGAUUGAUGGACAAAAAGUCAAUGAACAAAUGUUGUUUGCUCGUGGAAUCCUAUUCGUGUGUGAAAGCGUCGAAAUAAGGUAAGGGGUGAGAGAGCAUUUGAAUUAAUGAGUAUAAUAUAUUGUGAGCUGAACGGGAAAACCGUAUUUCCCAACGAUUCAUCUAGGGCUCGCUACGUACGGCAAUAGCCCUUUGAGUGAUAAAUUGAUUAAUGUAAAAAUAUGAUAAUUGUGAGAUUAAAAUAUGGAAUAUAAAUAUUUAUAACGUGUUGAUUGAUUUAACUCCGUUGAAUGUGUGGUAUUUGAUAUUAUUGUGAUGUUUAAUUUAUUUUUAUUAAAUGUGAGAUAUUUGCUAUUAUUGUGAUAUUGGAUGUCGCAUGAAUUUUAUGUAUAUGUUUGAUUAGACGUGUCUAUGUGAUGUGAUAAUAAAAAGUGAAUUCAUUUUGAUAAGUUAAUGAAAUUAUGAUGAUGUAUAAUUAAUAAUAAUGAUGUUAUAAAUUUGUGAUAAGUGUAUGUGAUGAUGUAUGGUUAAUGAUAGUGAUGCUAUAAAUUUGUGAUGAGUUUAUGUGAUGAGAUAUUAUUAAUGAUAGGGAUGUUGUGAAUUUGUGAUGAGAAUAUUGAAGUAACCCCAUAGUUGGUGAAAUAAUUGUGAUUCCAAUUUGUGUUUGAGAUGACAGUCUUAAUGGAGUAUCAUAGACCAACGAGGGGAUAAAAUAAAUAUUGAAAAUUUGUAAAGUGAAGAUUAUUUUGUCAUCAUAUAGGUAGGGCCUGACAAACCUAGUGAUUCCGAAGAAGUACAACUGAAUGAACCUGAUCGUGGCGAUCUGCUAUCAAGCCUUAAGGCAAGAUUGUUAGACCUUGGAGGUAUUCGGGUGGGGAAUUCCUUGGUGACUUGGAGGUAGCACUCCAAAUGUCGGGUUGCGUUGAGGGGAUCUAUGAGGAUAUGACAAAUUUGAAUUGUCCGUCCACAGGGAUGGUGGCAUAAUAUCAAGCCUUGUUUGAUUGAUCUGACUCCGAAUCUAGCUCCUGCUCACAAAUAAAUUAACUAACUACAACUUUUUCUUGUACCACUCAAUCACUGGGUUAUCUUUUGGAUAGAGAUAUAGAUAUAUAUUACAAUGUUUUUGUUAUAUUGAAUAACUCGGAAUUAUACCGAUAAAAUUGUGUAUAACUCUACAUUGUAUAAAAUUGUGUAUAACUUUAUUGUUACAGUGGUGCAUAACUUCAGACAUAUUAAAGAUCACUAUCUCUUAUUAAAAUCUCAAUAUGAGUUGAUCAUGUUCAAUAUCAAUCAAAUUUUUUCAAGAGUAGAAUGAUACUUUUUUUUUUUAUUUCUAAUUUUUUCUUGUCUCUCAAGGUCUCUAAAAUUUAACUUUUCUAUAAUUUCUUAUAUUUUAUUUUACUCUUAUUUUGAUUAAUUUUAUAAUACGUUAUUAGCACGAAACUCUACCAUAAGAGUAAUCAUAAAUAAUCAAUUUAGAGAUUUUGUUCUAAGAAUAUUUCUUCUUACUAUUUCUUCUAAAUUUUCUAAAAAAAAAUAUUUCUUAUUAUAUUCUUUUCAUGAUCAUAUUUCUUGAAUAUUUGAUUUCUUUUAUUUCAUAUCAAUAUUUUUUGUUUUCAUAUAAAUUGUGUUAGAAGAUUAUUUUUUUGGCUUAUAUAGUUGUCUUCUAGAAUUUAACAUUAAAGCAUAUCUUUGACGGAUUGCAAAAGAGUGAUUUUCUUGGAUCAUCAUAUAUGAUGAUGUGUUUUAUAGUUCCUACAAAAUUAAGAGUUUAAUUAUCAAAAUUAUGUGAAGGAUUGCAAAGAUAAUUUAUGAUAUAGUUUAUGAUGAACUAAAGAGUUGAUAUUAAAUCAUAUCUGAGGAAGUGCUCGAAAAAUGAAUUGUUCUUGAUCACUAUUUAUGAAUAUCUUUUGUGAUAUAAAAAUUUAAUAUUCAAUUAUCCCUAUUGAAUUGUCGAAAUUGGGAAUUUUGGUAUAUGAUUCUUGAAGAACUAAUAAUUUAAUACCAUGCAUCAUUUUAGGAAUAAAAAAGGUGUUAUUUUAUUUCGAUAUUGUUAAUGAAGAUUUGUGAUUGAGUUCUUGAAGAAAUAAAAUAUUAGACCACAAAUUAUUUAUAGAAAUCAAAAUUGGAAUAAAGGAAUUAAAGAAAAAAAUAAUACAUCAAAAUAGAUUUUUAACGCCAAGACAUCUCUUAAAUUUCAGUGAUGGUACGAAAUAUUAUAUGAUUACAACUAUAUUAUAUUUCUCACCUCAUCUUUAGACGGUCAAAUAGUGUAGUACAUACCUCUCUAAGUGUAGCAAAUAACUCUCUAAGUUUCCUCAAUGAAGAAUAAUAAAUACCUAAUGUAUAUACAUCUCAUAUAUUUUGUUUCUACAAUAGUUCAAUUUCCUCUAACUGAGUAUUUCAUAGUAUCAUCACUAUGAAAAAAAAACACGUUUUAAUGAAAAAAAUAGCUCAUUUUUAAUCAAAUAUAUAAAAUAUUUUAUAAUUAUUUUUUAAAGUAUUUAUACUUCAUUUUUUAUAUACAAUUUUAUUAAAAUAGUCCCACAAACUAGGAUGGUGUCAUUUCACUAUUAAUUUUCCUAUAUAGGUUUUUUUUACGCAUCUAUACUAUUCUACUCUUUCAAACAAUAUCUCUUAGUGGAUGAUCAAUCUCUCUACAAUUAGUGUUUUAUUAAAAAUAAAUUUAAAACUCCAAUAUUUACUUUGCAGAUAUAUUUUGUUUAAUAACUCUUUUUAUUCCAUUGCACUGUUGUGUUUCUUGUCAUUUUUAAUUAUACUUUUUACUUUGUAUUCUCUAUUUUGUGAUUUCAUUAGAAUAUGCCAACUUAGAAUUUCAUGCUCAAUAAUUUUAAAAUUAUAAUUACAUUACAACACAAGUAAAACAAAAGAGCACGACUAAUCAAAUUUUACGGUAGAUAAUUAUAUUUAUUAAUAUUUUUAUUAAAAUAGAUUUAAGACUUUUAUCACUAAAAAUAAUUAACGGGUUUUGUUUGUAGGAUGGUCUUCACUAUGGGGUUAUUUUAAAAAAUUAUUAUUUUUUAUUUUAUGUAUCGAAACCACACAUUUGAUAGAGAAUUUUAUUUUUUGGCUAAAUAUUUGAGAGAGCGGUGAAUGUUUAGCAAUUAGUAUUUUUUUAAAAAAUAAUAUAGUAAUUAGAAAGAUAUAAAUUUUAACAGAUUAUUGUUUUAUUGAAGACGAACAACAAAUUGCCAUACUUUACAAAUAUGUUGAAUUUAGCGUAACAUAUUGCACAAAUUUCAACCCAUAUUUAUCUCCUCUAAAUUGUUUAAUAGUGCACUUUUGUAACUCCAAAGAAAUGCAUUCAAGCGAGAAAAACAGGAACACGACCAGACCAGACAUCUGCAAAAAUUACAAAUAAAAAACAUUAGACAAAAGGGUGAGUGAGGGACAUAUGAGAUGGAAACUUUUGAUGUGUUUGUUGAGAAUUAUGAUUGAACCCAAGAAAAAAAAGUUGAAAUGAUUAUAUGAAGAAUUGUUAUAUAAUAAGUUGUGUUGCACUUUUAUACUCUUUAAUGUAACCAACCUAAUAAAUUCUACUUAAUCAUAAGUUUCUUUCAAAAGAUAUUUAUAUAUAAUAAUUUUCUAUCGGAUAUUACUAUUACCAUUUAUUAAUUACAAUUUAAAAUUUAGAUUUAAUAAAAAAAUAUAUCAAUUUUCAUCGCAUAUUAUAAUUUUAUUUUUUCUCUUUUUUAUUUAUUUUGACUUUGUUUUUCUUCACUACACAUAAAUUUAUUUGUUGAAAAUCAAUAAUGUUCUUAUCAAUAACCUAUCUUAUUAAGGAACUCGAGUUUGUUACUAUUUUUGCAAAAUAAGAAAAAAGAGAGAAUAUAAUUUGUUCCUACAAAUUAGAUAGAGUUUGUUACUAUAAAUUAGAUAAUAAACUCUAUGUUAUUAUGUGUUUGAGAAUAGUCACAAUGACAAAUGAUAUAAUUAUAAGUAAAGUUAACAUUAUCCUUUUUUUAUCAUUGCCAUGGAAUUGAGAUUUUGCAAUUUAAUACAAAAGUUUAGGAAUUGAUAAAAUUAUACAGUAAUAUAAAAGUUUAUAAGUUUGAUAUAUAUUUUUUAUUAUUAUUAAAUUAAAUUUUAUUAUCUAAAAUUUCAUUUUAAAGAAAUUCAACAAAUAUAUGUUAACAGGGAGCUCAUAAUAUGAUCUCCAAUUUAUAGGGUCCACGUGUGUUACUCAAUCGUUACCAACUAUAAUAGUUUUUUCUUUCUUUCUUUUUUUAGAAUUUGUGAAAAAAAAUCGGUUAUUUUAACUAGGAGGUAUUAUUAACAUUAUGCCUUUAUAUUUAAUCCAAAAGUCCUAAAAAUAAAAUUAAAAAAAUGUUAAAAAAAGAAGAAAAGAAAUUAAUAACACCAAGCUGAACUUCCCUCCUCACCUUGGUUGAAUUCAGAUAUUUUUUAAUAAUUUAUCUUUAACUAAAGUUUAUUAAUUACUUGAGCUAUUAUUUGAUUAAGUGUCCAUUCUCUUUUAUACAUUGAACAUUAAUAUAAUUAAAACAAACACCUAUUUUAUUUUUUUUUAAAUUGUAAUAAAUAAAUAAAUUCCCGAUAAGAGUUUAGGAGACAAAUGUCAAAUCUCAUCUCAUAAAGUUGUAAAAUGACGAAUAUUUAGACUUUGAUUAAUAAUAAUUUUCCCUUCUCUUUUUAUUUAAAUAAAUAAAAUUAUAACAACUAAAUUAUAAAGGAUAAAAAGGGAUUUUUUUGUUAAAAUAGUAAAAGUAAAAUUAAUUAAAAAAUAUGAUAAACUACAAAUUAAAAAGCUAGUUGAGGUAACAUAUUAAAAAAUGCUUUAAGUUAGUAAAAUAAUUAUAAACUUAUAAUGAUUAACAAAUAAAUAUUUUUUAAUAUGAGUUAAUAAGUUAACUUAUUUGUCAGCAGACUCUUAACUUUUAUACUUCGGUAAACAAAUUUCUAAGAACAGACUUAUAGUAUUUAAAACAAGAGUAAAGAUUAUAAAGACGGUCCAAAUUUUUUACCCCUUAAAAAUUUGAAACAUAAUUUAUUCACAAUUAAAAAAGAAACAAAAUGUAAAAUUUUAGCAUUAGUCUUAAUGUAAGCUAAACAAACCUUAAAUCUUAAUAAAAACAAAAGAGAAGUGUAGGUUUUAAUGUUCUGAAUUUUUUAAAUUAGAAAGUUUCGUUAGUGUUAGCCUUAGUGUGUAGCUUAAGUAAAGGCUGGCUCUAAAAUAAAAAUAAAAUAAAAUAAAAAAUUAGAGACGAAAUUUAAUUUUAAAGUUUUCACUUUUAAAAAAACUAGAAUACCAGAUUUUUGUAACAUUUUAAAAAGUUUGAAUUUUUUUUCCACAUUUAUAUAAAUGGGGUUAAAAAAUUUGAAUUUUUUUUUCCAUAUUUAUAAAAAUGGGGCAGCAGACAUAUAAUUUAGUUGGUUUUUGGGUAUAUAAUUUUGGGUAUACAUUGAAUAUUAAUAUAACUAAAACAUACACCUAUUUUAUUUUUUAAAAUUAUAAUAAAUAAAUAAAUUCCCGACUUACUACUUAUGUAGUAAGAGUUUAGGAGACAAAUGUGAAAUCUCAUCUCAGAAAAUUAUAACUAAAUUACAAAGGAUAGAAAGGGAUUUUUUUGAUAAAAUAAUAAGAGUAAAAUUAAUUAAAAUAUAUGAUAAACUAAAAAUUAUAAAGCUACUUGAAGUAACAUAUUAAAAAAUGCUAUAAGUUAGUAAAAUAAUUAUAAACUUAUAAUGAUUAUAAAAUAAACAUUUUUUUUAUAUGAGCUAAUAAGUUAAUUUAUUUGUCACCAGACUCUUAACUUUCAUAUUUCGGUAAAUCAUACAAAUAUCUAAAAAUAGAUUUAUAAUUUUUAAAUUAAAACUCAAAUUUAUUUAAAAAAAUUUAAAACAAGAGUUAAGAUUAUAAAGAUGUUCCCAAUUUUUUACCCCAUAAAAAUCUGAAAUAGAAUACCAGAUUUUUCUAACAUUUUAAAAAUUUGAAUUUUUUUUCCACAUUUAUAAAAAUGGGGCAGCAAACUUAGAAUUAGUUGGUUUUUGGGUAUAUAAUUUUUUAUUUUAUAAUCUCUGAUUUUAAGUAAAUAGAGUCUUAAUAUCUGAAGUUCACAUAAUAGAUAAAUAGAAUUUAAUAAAAGAAAUUAUUUUAAUUUUAAAACUCAAAUUUUCAUGAAUAAUUUAUUAUGAAUUGAAAUUAAAUGCAACAGAACUAAAAAAAUAUAAAGAAAUUAAAUGCAACGGAACUAAAAAAAAUUAAAUGCAUGUGAAAAAGAUUUAGUAGUCAACGGUAAAAAAAAAGAUUUGAUUUUUUCGGUUUUGAAGAUUUGAUCUGAUUAUUAACCUUAUAAAAACAGAGCCAACACACUCCAAACAUAUAGUGAAUUGAAUUGAACAUUGUUAUUCUUGUUCCAUUUUCUUUUGUUUGUUCUCCAUACACAUAACACAAUGAGUUCUUUAUCGGUAAUGAAAUUGGAGAAUACUAAACAACCUCGUAAGCGACUUAUAAUCAAGUUUUCUUCUCAAAAGAGUCAUUCUCAAGGAGAUAUUAAGAUGGAACAUUCCAAGCCAAUUGUUACAUGUUUCUGGCUUGACGCUAAAGAUUCAACAGCUAUUAUGUCUCAACAAAACAACAACACAACAACCGAUUCUGUCAAAGAUUCAAAACCCAUCUUGUCUAAAGAAGUUGGUGUGCAAGUAAUGAAGGAUUCUUGUUCCAAGAAGAUUAUCAAUGAAACAAGAAACCCAAGAACCGAAAAUUGUUGCUUGAAGACUGAUGGCGGUGAGAUCAUGAAUGAAAAGAGAAAGAAGCCGAUGCAACAUUACAAGAAGAUGCAAUGUUGGGUGAUUUUGAAGAGGAUUUUGAUUGGAAGAGAUAGCUGGCCUCUAAAAGACCCUAUUGAUCUCAAGUUCUUGAAGGCUUUUCAUGACAAGGAUAAUUUAGAGAACAAGUCUAAAUUGAAGACUAUGGGUUUGAAGAAUAUUGAAUCUAAAUUGCAAUUCUAUUCAACACCCGAUGAAUUUGCUACUGACAUCAGAUUUGUAUUCUCUCAAAGAAUGUUAUUAUAUCCUCCUAGAAAUGAGGUUCAUAAAAUUGCGUUAAAGUUUAGUGAAUAUUUUGAAAACAAAUGGAAGUCUCUCAAAAAAGAUUGGGACCUUGAGGAAAGAAAAAUAAACAAGAGAAAAAGGGAUGAACAUGCUCAUGAGAUGAAAGACUUCUUCCAAACCAAAAGGUCAAGAUAAGAUAUGCAAGACAACAACCCGUUUCUUUUGCAUGUUGCCAUCGUCACUUUAGUAUUAACACUGAUAUGUAUAUACUAGAUAUUUUGUCAAUUUUCACAACAUAUUGUUAUUGUUCUUAUUCUUGUAUUUGUGUCCAAUUGGCAAUACAUAACAUGAUUUUGCUACUGUUCUCUCUUUAUUACAUGUGUGUUUAAAGUUUAAUAUCAAUUACAAUUGUGUUUAAUGUUAAAUCUUAUUUUUUUUUUAAACUUUUCGUUAGAAUGAUCUAACUUUGUUACAAAAUUUAAAAUAGUUAGGAGUAACUUAAAUUCAAUUUUGUUUUCUAAGUAUGUUGACUAUCGAUAACCUGUUGCUUAUUUUUUAAAGAUAAUAUUGAUGGUUUAAAAAUAUAAUAAUUAAUGAAAUAAAUAUCAUUUUUCAUUUAUUUAUUUUAUAUUUUAUAUUAAAUUUAUUUUUUAUACAUUGUCUUAGUAAAAAAUAAUUUCAUGCAGAGCCAAUUUAGAAAAUUUUACAUUAUCAUCACAUCACAAUAUUUAUUGACAUAUAAUGCAACAACUUUUUACACUAAAUAUGUAUAUAAUUAAAUCCUAGAUUCUCGUUAUUUUUUGUUGAAAUUAUUAAAAAUAAAUAUUUUUUUAUCGGAAUAUUAUUUUGAUAUUGAAAUAUAAUUUAAGAACCAAUUCAAAUGCAGUAAUCUUUUCAGAGAAACAUUCACUAAUUUAAAGACUAAGUCAAAUACAAGCGAGCUUCUUUACAUAACAUUCUCUAGUUGAAGAGUUUUACUAUAUUUUUUUUUUCUUUCUUACAUUAACAAUUAUUUUUACAAAUAAAAUGGUUAUUGCCAGCUUUUAUAGUUUAAGAAAGAUCAUUUCAUACCAAAAAAUAUUGUAAACUACAUGUUUUUGAUGACGACAAGACCACCAACUAUGGACAAUGCAACAAGAUAAAAAAGAAGAUCAAAUUAUCUUCAAUAAGCUUCAAAAUAAGCUGCAACAAGAUUUUCAUAUCAUUCUAAAAGUUCUCAAGUACUUGAAUUGCUAUUGAGUUGUUUAUCAAUAUACCACAUCUUAGACUCAUUCAAACCUUAUUGUAUCAUUUGUACAGGAUAGCUUAAUCUAAGAUAGUGGUGUGCUAUCUUAGAAGUAUUGUUAGAAGUUUUGUAGCAAGAAUCCCAGGGUGGGAGUUGUACAUUUUCUGACAAGUAUUGGAUUAAUCUCUUGUGGUGUGCAAGAGGACUGGACGUACCCAUGGUUAUAAGGGGAACCAGGAUAAAUCUUAAAGUGUUCAUUUACUUACUGCAAUUUUUAUUAAGCUUUGUUCUUAAACUCAGAAAAUCCAAUUACCAUAUCACUAAAAANNNNNNNNNNNNNNNNNNNNNNNNNNNNNNNNNNNNNNNNNNNNNNNNNNNNNNNNNNNNNNNNNNNNNNNNNNNNNNNNNNNNNNNNNNNNNNNNNNNNNNNNNNNNNNNNNNNNNNNNNNNNNNNNNNNNNNNNNNNNNNNNNNNNNNNNNNNNNNNNNNNNNNNNNNNNNNNNNNNNNNNNNNNNNNNNNNNNNNNNNNNNNNNNNNNNNNNNNNNNNNNNNNNNNNNNNNNNNNNNNNNNNNNNNNNNNNNNNNNNNNNNNNNNNNNNNNNNNNNNNNNNNNNNNNNNNNNNNNNNNNNNNNNNNNNNNNNNNNNNNNNNNNNNNNNNNNNNNNNNNNNNNNNNNNNNNNNNNNNNNNNNNNNNNNNNNNNNNNNNNNNNNNNNNNNNNNNNNNNNNNNNNNNNNNNNNNNNNNNNNNNNNNNNNNNNNNNNNNNNNNNNNNNNNNNNNNNNNNNNNNNNNNNNNNNNNNNNNNNNNNNNNNNNNNNNNNNNNNNNNNNNNNNNNNNNNNNNNNNNNNNNNNNNNNNNNNNNNNNNNNNNNNNNNNNNNNNNNNNNNNNNNNNNNNNNNNNNNNNNNNNNNNNNNNNNNNNNNNNNNNNNNNNNNNNNNNNNNNNNNNNNNNNNNNNNNNNNNNNNNNNNNNNNNNNNNNNNNNNNNNNNNNNNNNNNNNNNNNNNNNNNNNNNNNNNNNNNNNNNNNNNNNNNNNNNNNNNNNNNNNNNNNNNNNNNNNNNNNNNNNNNNNNNNNNNNNNNNNNNNNNNNNNNNNNNNNNNNNNNNNNNNNNNNNNNNNNNNNNNNNNNNNNNNNNNNNNNNNNNNNNNNNNNNNNNNNNNNNNNNNNNNNNNNNNNNNNNNNNNNNNNNNNNNNNNNNNNNNNNNNNNNNNNNNNNNNNNNNNNNNNNNNNNNNNNNNNNNNNNNNNNNNNNNNNNNNNNNNNNNNNNNNNNNNNNNNNNNNNNNNNNNNNNNNNNNNNNNNNNNNNNNNNNNNNNNNNNNNNNNNNNNNNNNNNNNNNNNNNNNNNNNNNNNNNNNNNNNNNNNNNNNNNNNNNNNNNNNNNNNNNNNNNNNNNNNNNNNNNNNNNNNNNNNNNNNNNNNNNNNNNNNNNNNNNNNNNNNNNNNNNNNNNNNNNNNNNNNNNNNNNNNNNNNNNNNNNNNNNNNNNNNNNNNNNNNNNNNNNNNNNNNNNNNNNNNNNNNNNNNNNNNNNNNNNNNNNNNNNNNNNNNNNNNNNNNNNNNNNNNNNNNNNNNNNNNNNNNNNNNNNNNNNNNNNNNNGAACUUGGAAGGCUAGAACAAAAUGAAAGUCAAGAAAAGAAGAACAAAAAUAUUGCUUUAAAGACCGAAUCAAGAGAACAAAGCAAAGAUAAUGAUUCAGAUGAAGAUGAAAAUAUUAUCCUUCUUGUUAAGAAAUUUGGUAAAUUUCUUAAAAACGAUAGAACAUUCAAAAAGAAAAGCUUCAAGAAGAAAGAUAAUUCUACAUCAAAUCAAAAUUUCACUUGCUUCGAAUGUGGAAAACAAGGACAUAUUAAAGCAGAUUGCCCAAACCUUGCUAAGAAGAAUGUCAACAAAAAGAAAGACUUCAAGAAGGCAUACAUAGCUUGGGAAGACAAUGAAGUAAGUUCAUCUUCAGAAACAGAAAGUGAAGAAUGCGCCAAUGUUGCAUUAAUGGCCUCGCAUCAAUCAGAUGAUGAAGAGGUUAGUAAUAUAGACUCUCCUCAUUAUAAUAAGACUAAUAAUGAAUUAAUUAUAGAAUACAAUGAUGCUCAAAACGCAAUAAAGGAAUUACUUAUUGAAUGUAAAAAUCUGUGUAAACUAGUAUCAACACAAAAGAAACAAAUCUCAAGUUUACAAGAAAAAGUUGAUAUUAUGGAGAAAAAUUCUGAAAAACUAAAACAGAAUUCUGCAUGCAAUAAAUGUGAAUCCCUCUCUUUCAAAAUUGUUCAAUUAAAUAGAGUGAUUGAACGGUACGAAAAGGGACAAUUAGGAUUGGAAAAUGUUUUAAAUAUGCAAAGAUACUCAAAUGACAAAAGUGGUCUUGGAUAUUCAAAAUUUGAUAAACCAAAUUUGAACAAAACUAUUUUUGUUAAAGCAAGUAGUCAAUCUAAUCAAGAAAAGAUUAUAGUUAUGAAAAAGGAUGAUCUUUAUAAUAAGAAAAUUAUUCAAAAUAAAUCUCAUACAUAUGCUACUAAUAGUAGAUUUAAUCUUACUUGUUCUUAUUGUGGUCUUCAUGGUCAUACACCUAAUACAUGUCAUAUUAGAAACAUUAGUGUUCCAAGAGGGGAUUACAUAUGGGUAAAGAAAGGUACUAACCAUCAAGGACCCAAAGCACAUUGGGUACCUAAUAAAGUUUGAUUUCAAUUUUGUAGGUAUGCAAACAAGAGACUUCAAACAUGUGGUACUUAGAUAGUGGCUGCUCCAAACACAUGACGGGUGAUAUAACAAAAUUUUCAGCUUUAACACUUGAGUCAAAGGGACAUGUAGUAUAUGGAGACAACAACAAAGGAAAAAUUUUAGGCAUUGGAAAAGUCGGUACAACACCAUCCCCCUCGAUUGAAGAUGUCUUAUAUGUUGAAGGUCUAAAACAUAAUCUCAUAAGCAUCAGCCAGCUUUGUGACAAAGGAUACACGAUAGUUUUUAAUAAAGAUGAGUGCAUCAUCCAAAAUGAAGCUACAAAUGAAACUCAGUUUGUCGGUAAGCGUUUCAAAAACAUUUUCAUACUCAAUUUUGAAGAUUUAUCCUUAAAAAUGAAAUGUCUUUUGGUAAGCGACAAUAAUGAUGUUUGGCUAUGGCAUAAGAGAUUUGCUCAUAUUCAUAUGGAUCAUUUAAACAAAUUGGUCAAGCAUGAUCUUGUUGUAGGCUUACCAAAAAUAAAAUUUAUAAAGGAUAAAUUAUGUGACGCUAAAAAGUCAUUUCAACCUCUAGAACAAUACAAUUGAUACAUAUGGAAUUGUUUGGUCCCAUAAAAACCAAAAAGUCUUGGUGGAAACUCAUAUGGACUAGUUAUUGUUGAUGAUUACUCAAGUUCACUUGGACCAUAUUCUUGGCAAAUAAAAAUGAAGCUUUUAAGGCAUUUACAAACUACGCCAAGCUAGUCCAAAACCAACAAUCUGCCAAAAUUAUAUCAAUUAGAAGUGAUCAUAGAAAGGAAUUUCAAAAUACUUCAUUUGAAGAAUUUUGUGAAGAAAAUGGCAUUUUUCACAAUUUUUCUCCACCAAGAACACCACAACAAAAUGGGGUCGUUGAGAGAAAGAAUAGAUCAUUGAUAGAGCUUGCUAGAACUAUGCUAAGCGACUCAAAUCUACCAAAAUACUUUUGGGCAGAUGCUGUAAACACAACAUGCUAUGUUUCCAACCGGGUAAUUAUUAGGCCAAUUCUUAAGAAAACUCCAUAUGAACUUUACAAAGGUAGAAAACCCAAUAUCUCUCACUUCCACAUUUUUGGAUGUAAGUGUUUUGUGUUAAAUAAUGGUAAAGACAACCUUGGAAAAUUUGAUGAAAAAGCUGAUGAAGGUAUAUUUCUCGGUUACUCUUUAUCUAGUAAAGCAUUUAGAGUCUUUAAUAAAAGAACCUUAUUAGUUGAAGAAUCAAUGCAUGUAACCUUUGAUGAAACUAACCCCAUAAAAGAAGAAAAUAUUAUUUCUUGUGAUGAUGAUGAUGUUUUUGAAAGCAAUGAUCCAAGCAAAGAACUUCAACAAGAAAGUGGAGUCAAUAUUGAAAGGCAAAGUGAUGAUCUUCCUAAAGAAUGGAGAACCCAUAGAUAUCACCCUAUUGACAACAUCAUAGGUGAUAUAAAUAAAGGAGUCACAACAAGGUUAAAAUUGCAAGAUGCUUGCUUAAACAUGGCGUUUGUUUCUCAAAUCGAACCCUCCAAAAUUGGUGAAGCACUUAAAGAUGAUCAAUGGAUACUUGCCAUGCAAGAAGAACUCAAUCAAUUCGAAAGAAGCCAAGUUUGGGAACUUGUUCCUAAUCCUGGAAAUAAACACAUCAUUGGUACAAAAUGGGUGUUCAAAAAUAAACUAGAUGAGAAUGGCAUAGUUGUUCGCAACAAAGCUAGAUUGGUUGCUCAAGGAUACAAUCAAGAGGAAGGGAUAGACUUUGACGAAACAUUUGCUCCGGUAGCAAGACUAGAAGCCAUACGUCUACUAUUAGCAUAUGCUUGCUCCAUGAAUUUUGAGUUAUAUCAAAUGGACGUGAAAAGUGCAUUUCUCAAUGGGUACAUAAAUGAAGAAGUUUAUGUCAAGCAGCCCCCUGGAUUUGAAGAUUCCAAAAAUCCCUCACACGUUUACAAAUUGAAAAAGGCUCUUUAUGGUCUAAAACAAGCUCCAAGAGCUUGGUAUGACAGAUUAAGCACCUUUUUAUGUGAACGAGGAUUUGACAAAGGAGAAGUUGAUAAAACGUUAUUUGUCAAAAGAGAAAAUGGUCACACAUUAUUGGUUCAAAUUUAUGUUGAUGAUAUAAUAUUUGGAUCAACCAACAAGGACAUAUGUGAAGAAUUCUCUUCAAUAAUGCAAGGAGAAUUCGAAAUGUCCAUGAUGGGAAAAUUAAACUAUUUUCUUGGACUUCAUAUCAAGCAACUUGAGCACGGCAUCUUCAUCAAUCAAGCCAAAUAUUGUAAAGAAUUACUAAAGAAAUUUGAAAUGGACAAUUGCAAAGAAAGUACAACUCCAAUGGGCUCCAGAACAUAUGUUGAUAAAGAUGCAUCAGGAAUUUCAAUCGACAUAUCCACAUAUCGAGGUAUGAUUGGAUCAUUAUUAUAUCUAACGGCCAGCCGUCCAGAUAUCAUGUUUAGUGUUUGUCUGUGUGCAAGAUUUCAGGCAGAUCUGAAAGAAUCACAUCUAGUAGCUGUUAAAAGAAUUAUGAAGUAUCUAAAAGGAACAACAAAUGUAGGCCUAUGGUAUCCCAAGGGUAGCAUAUGUAGCCUAGUUGGAUACUCUGAUUCGGAUUAUGCGGGAUGCAAAACAGACCGUAAAAGCACCAGCGGCACGUGCCAUGUCUUAGGAAAUGCACUUGUUUCAUGGUCUUGUAAAAAGCAAGCUUGCGUUGCACUUAGUAUUGCUGAAGCUGAAUACAUUGCAGCAUGAAGCUGUUGUGCCCAGAUUCUCUGGCUUAAACAGCAAUUACAUGACUAUGGAGUUGAUCUCGGAUGCAUUCCCUUAAGAUGUGAUAACACAAGCGCAAUAAACAUCUCAAAGAAUCCAAUCAUGCACUCUAGAACUAAACACAUCGAUAUCCGACAUCAUUUUCUACGGGAUCAUGUACUUAAAGGUAAUGUUGAGGUAACAUUUGUUGAUACACACAAUUAAUUGGCUGAUAUAUUUACAAAACCAUUACCUAAAGACUCAUUUUAUAAAAUCCGAAGAGAACUUGGUAUUUUGAGUGAAAAUGAUCUUUAACCAUUGCAUGAUAUACAUAGUUUGUCAUAUCUUUUAUGUCUUGUUGAUUAUUGCUUCUUGAUAUAUGAAUUUGUGUAUUACAUGAUGCAAAUUUUCAUAAAAAACUGAGUUUUUAAGCAAAACUGUGCUUAUGUAGUCGAAUACAAAUGUCUGUAUUUGAAUACAAACAUUCCCAGAUUUCCUGCAUUCGAAUACAAAGGAUGUGUAGUCGAAUACACGUUCCCAGAAAAAUGUGUAUUCAAAUACAAGAAGGUGUAGUCGAAUACACCUUCGCGUUUUUGCCCAGAUAUAAAAGCUGCUUCACAUAUUUAGGGUUAUUUUCUUUGGUAUUCGAAUACAGCCCCAGUUUCUCCUCUCUUCUCUCCAAAACUCAUCCAUCCUCCUUCCACUCACUUACCCAUUCACCCAACCUAACAAAAUCCAUUACUCUUUACUUCCUUCUUGUCAUUCCUCUUCAAAUCUCUCACAACUCUCACAUUUUCUCUAAAACCCAUUUUCCCCAAAAAUACCCUUUCUGACCAUGGAUGCCCGCAAACGAGGACCACACACCAAACAUGCAGCAGUAGUUCCCUCACGAAAACGAACCAGGAAUCCUAACAUCACAGAUCUAAACCCGGCUUCUACACACACCGGAGGAAAUUGAUCAUUUUCGCACAUUCUACUCGGACUAGCGACUUAUUAUCCCAAAGUAUGGUACUUUAGACUCUUUCUCUGACUUUAAAUUUCCUGCUUUGCUCAAAGCACAACUUGUUGAAGAGUUUAUAGGCUACAAAGGUCCAGUUUAUCUAGAUUUGGUUAGGGUUUUUUAUUGCAAUCUCAUGCAAGAGGGAAAACUGUUAGUCUCUCGGGUUAAGGGUAAAAUCAUCCGUUUAAAUACCAAAACCAUUGGAGAAAUUCUGAAUAUCCCUUUUAAUGGUGAAAUUUUUUUUACAAACCAAUUGUGUGAAUGGGGUGAUAUUUCUAAGUAUGAUGCGUAUGUCUCCCUCUGUCGAUUUGAUCGACGCACCAUGGAACAAAAGAGAGCUCAGGCAGGUUCCAAAUAUGCCCAGCAAUGGUAUGGUGUGGGAAAUCUUACUGUUGAUUAUCGACUUCUACACUAUUUCCUUAGCUACAUUCUGGUUCUGAAGGCUGAAAAUUACUCCCAAAUUUCGGAGUUUGAAUUGCAAAUUAUGAAUUUCAUGUUUGAAGGUCGUCAACUUAAUUGGGCAUUUUUUGUGAAAUCUAUUAUGUUUGGCUCUCGCGAGGCAAUUUGCUUACCCUAUGCAAAGGAAGUUUCACGGAUUUUGGAACACUUUGGUGUGGACUUCUCUGAUGAAGUUAUGUUUACACCCACCAAAGAAAAUAUGCUGGAUUUAGGUGUCUUGCCUAGCAUGCGGAUAAUAUGGAAUGAAGAGCUUGAAGCAUUUGUGCGUAAAGGUGAUCAUGGUCAACCAUCUGAUGAUGCACCAGAGGACAAUGCUGGACCCUCAAACGCGGCUGCUCAAGGAGAUGAAAAUGGCGAGGAAACUGCAUCUGAUGAUGAUUAUAUCUCCAAUCAAAUGAUCAUGACUCGCCUUGAUUCUUUCCAAACCUUCUUCCAAACUCAAUUCGACAAGUUGACCACCUCUAUCGACACUCGCUUCACCAAUAUUGAAACUACUAUUGCUCGCAAUCAUGAAGCACUAUCUCAAGACAUUAGUAAUUUAUCAGACAAACUUGAUCAUUUCCACAUUCCGACAGAUUUUGAUUAAGUCCUUUAGUUAUGUACUAAGUUAACUUUUUGCAUUAGGUAUUACUGUGAUCUUUGUUUUAUGAACUCCUUUGUCUUUUUAAUUAUGGUGUAUUCUGUAUUGCUCUUUUCGGGACAUGUUAUGUAUUAACUUUUAUGAUAUUCUGACUUAAUUUCCAUUUAUGUUAUUCUCCUUGUUACCUUAUAUGCCGUUUGUGUAUGAUAAUACUCGGAACUUGUAUGUCUCUUUUUCUUUUUUUUCUUCUUUUUGAUCAUGUCAAAAGCGGGAGAAAAUUUGGUACUGUUGAUGCAUUUCAAACCUUGUAGGUACUCAAAAACAAUUUUUUUCAAAUCAUCACAUACAACGGGGGAGUAUGAACCUAUUACGGGGGAGCAAUGAUUUCAAUUUUUUUAUAAGUACUUGCAUUAGAUUUUCAUAUCAUUCUAAAAGUUCUCAAGUACUUGAAUUGCUAUUGAGUUGUUUAUCAAUAUACCACAUCUUAGACUCAUUCAAACCUUAUUGUAUCAUUUGUACAAGAUAGCUUAAUCUAAGAUAGUGGUGUGCUAUCUUAGAAGUAUUGUUAGAAGUUUUGUAGCAAGAAUCCCAGGGUGGGAGUUGUACAUUUUCUGACAAGUAUUGGAUUAAUCUCUUGUGGUGUGCAAGAGGACUGGACGUACCCUUGGUUAUAAGGGGAACCAGGAUAAAUCUUAAAGUGUUCAUUUACUUACUGCAAUUUUUAUUAAGCUUUGUUCUUAAACUCAGAAAAUCCAAUUACCAUAUCACUAAAAACAAGAAACUUUACUAACACCUAUAAAGAAUAAUACAUAAUUUACAUAACUAAACAAAUAAUAACUAAAAACAUAGAGUAGAUAAAAUAAGGAACAUCCAAACUGACGUUGAAUACAUCACCUAGUUGAACUUUGUUAAGAACAUUACAAAGAAUGAUUCCACUCCACAAACAAAGCCUAAACUCUUCCUUAGAAGUCUCUACGGGUAAAUAUUUAGCUGCAACAACUCCAACCAUUUUUUCUCAACCACCAUGCUGCUUCAUAUCUUCUAAAUGUUGCAUUUUAUAUAAUUUAUUUUUCAGUCUCAAAAUAGCUGAUACAAAAUCCAAAUAUCUUUUUAAUAUAAUAUUGACAAAUAUCAACCUUCAUUAAAAUCAAUAUCAUAUAGAAAAGGAUGAUAAUUUGAGACAUUAAUGAAAAAAAACUGAAAACUGAUUGUUCCCAGGAAAUUACCAGCUUAUUCCACCUUUCUAGAUUCCAAAUCAAGAUCUUUGAGGCGAGUACCGUGUUGUUGAAGCACAUCUUCAACCACAGAAGCAACUGAAAACGACAAUGUUACCAAUUCAAGAAAGAAGCAUAUUGAUUCUAUAAUCUAUAUCUUUUCCCAUUUUCUCUGUACAAACUGGUACUCCAACUCCACUAACACAAAUACCUCUUUCUAUCUCUAUCUAUCCGCUUUACAGUAUACAAUACUCCCCACUAUUCUUCCUUGCUUUGGUUCUCUCCUUACGUCAUGCUUCGAUUCCAAACCUCAUUAUCAAUCUAACCUUUCAGAUCCUAUAGGGUCUGAACAGAGACAUCACUCCACAUCUUAUAUUUAUGAACUCUUGUGCUUAUAAAUAGGCCAACAUCGAUAAAGGUGGCCCCAUCACUAUUUGAUUCCUUAGAAAAGGCAUGUGACCUGUCUGCCGCAUUGGGGGUGUAGUUCUCUCAAAUAAUCAAUAAUCUAUGUUAGGAUAACUGUAGCCUGCCAUGAUCAUAAACCCCCCAUCAUCAUCUGUAAGCCCUCCUUCAAAUACAAGAUUCCCAAUAUGUUCCUCCAUGAACACAAACUUGAGCUGCAAGGACUCUUAAAGCAUUAGCUUCUCCUUGCUUGAAUAGACAACAAACAGUUUCAACUAUCAUUUAGGGAGCCCGAAAACUGGCGACCGUGCAUAGUUCAAUUAGAAAGAAAUAUAAAUUUUUUUAUAGUGUAUCAUCCUCCAACUUUUAAACAACAGGUAUUCAUGAGAAACAACAGUGUUUUCCCUAAGAAUAAGAGAACCUAGUCUACCACCCAAAACUGAAUUCCCAACCAAACAACUCCCUCUAGCUUCCAGGACAAAACACUCCCUCUUGUUUAUAUCAACUAUUUUAUCACGCGUAUUGUAACAAGGCCUUUCAACUUGAUUCCUUGGCCCAUCUUGAUGUAAUCUGCCUUAGAACAAUAAGUAGGUGAAUUGGAGAAUUGGUUACAAUAUGCUUAUGUGGAAAAUCCGUUAGAAGAGACAUUAAUGAGCCAAACCCAAUACCUAACAUAAUCUCUCCUAAUUAAGGCCUGAUCCUAAUUCCUAACAUACCUACAAACCAAAUAGGGUGGAAUUCAAACUUUACUUCUUAAUUUGUCCAAAACUUAUUCUUUAGAAAUGUAACAUCGCUACCAAAAUAGCGAUGCCAUAUUCAAAACGAAAUUUUUCUCGUCUUUAAUGUUCACGGCAAGGAUAGAGAUAUCUUAAAUUAAUUUAAUCAAAGGUAGGUACUCGUGUGUAAGAAUAAUUGAGCGAUUUAUAUAUAUGUUGCGCAAGACUUGAACAAGUGAGCUCCAGCUCCACUGAAAAGGAAGCAAUUAACAAAUCAUGUAUUAGCUAACAGGAAAGCCAAGCCAACCAAUGUCUAAAUCCAAAAUAAUUACAAGAACAUUGUAAUUUAACAAAAUCAUAGUGGCACACAACAAAGUCGGUGCAAUCCAAAUAUGGACGCAAUAAUGAUCUAAAAGUUGUGAUGCCUGAAAGUUUAAAAACUCUUUAGACCGAUUAUGUAUAUCAAUUAAUAUCAAGGAUUACAACACAACGGAGAUAAUCCGAAAUUACCUAACUACCGACUGGCCUAUCAAGCAAAUCUCUAAAAGUAACUACAAAAUCACUUAAAAGUAGUAAAAUAGCAUAGCUUUAAAAAUCAUCCCAAAUUCCAACAUCAAAGUUUUAAAUUAAUGUCUUUGUAACUGCCACCACAAUCGAGGCCAAGUGCAUGUUUAAAUUGACAGUAAAUUUUAAAAGUGACGGUAACACCACAUUGUAAUUUAACAAAAUCAUAGUGGCACACAACAAAGUCGGUGCAAUCCAAAUAUGGACGCAAUAAUGAUCUAAAAGUUGUGAUGCCUGAAAGUUUAAAAACUCUUUAGACCGAUUAUGUAUAUCAAUUAAUAUCAAGGAUUACAACACAACGGAGACACUGCGAAAUUACCUAACUACCGACUGGCCUAUCAAGCAAAUUUAAGCUCCACUGAAUAUCUAUUUACCAAUUUUAUGCUAUUUUACUUUUUUCCCAAUUCCUUAUUGUGUACUUAAGAGAAAAUAAAUUAAAAAUCAGUUAGAAAGUGAGAACAAAAGAAGAGGGUCAAAUAAUUAUUGAACUGAAAUUAAAGCAUUGUAAAUUGAAAUUUUAGAUUAGCACUCAUAUCAGCUCAAAAUUAGAACAAAUUGUAAACCCACAACUUCAUUUAGUAAAUCGCGAAUGAAUGACACUUAACAAGCAAGAGUACCAAAAUAAAAAUUGAAAUCACAAAAUAAAAUGAUUUGGAUAGAGAAUAGAACUUACUUGCUAUUGCAAACCGUGAGAAACGAGAGAGAUGAAACCUCAUUCAACAAAUCGCAAAGUAAUGACACUUAACAAGUAAGAUUACCAAAAUAAAAAUUGAAAUCGCAAACUAAAAUGAUUCGGAAAGAGAAUACAACUUACUUGCUACUGCAAAUCGCGAAGUGAAACGAGAGAGAUGAAACCUCAUUCAACAAAUCGCAAAGUAAUGACACUUAACAAGUAAGAUUACCAAAAUAAAAAUUGAAAUCGCAAACUAAAAUGAUUCGGAAAGAGAAUACAACUUACUUGCUACUGCAAAUCGCGAAGUGAAACGAGAGAGAUGAAUUUAGGGUUGUUUAAAAUAAAAUUUACGGUUUUUGGGGAUUAGGGUUUGUUAAGACAGUAGAGAGAAAAGAGUUUUAGAAAUGCAAAGAAAAAGAAAAGGUUUCUAAGUGUUUUUCGAAGGCGAUGUGUAGUUGCAUUUUCAUUGUACAAGACCAAACGGGCAAAACCUACAUUUUUUAUGCAUUUAUUUUUUUUAUUUAUAAAAGAGUAUAAUAAUUUUAAAAACAGUGACACUCUAAUUGUAGCUAAAAGUAGCAUUAGUGACAGAUAAAAAAUCAUCACAAAAUCUGAGUGGCAGAAUAGAUUUUGUUUUUUUGUAGUGAUCAUGCAAGAAAUAGAUUAACACAUAAAUAAGAUUUAGAUCAAUAUAGUUUAGGGUACGAGCAAGGUCAAAGAUGAAAGAACAUUUGCAUAAAGAAUUAUCAGAGGUUGUGUGAUUGAAUUAAUAUCUAUGUUUCAUCAUACAAAAAAUAUAAUUAAGAGAAAACAUAAAAAACCAAGAGGUUGAAUGAUUGAAUGAUUAAUACCUAUGUUUCAUCAAACAAUAAUCCUAAUCUCAAUUAUCCUAUAUAUCUACCAUUAAAUUGUAGUUGGUCUGAAUUGAUUGAUUAAAGCAUGCAAAGGUAUGUCAUCCUGUAAAUAAAAUAAUAAAAUAAUUUAAUUGAAAUAAACAACAACCACCUUAGGAGAGAGCUUAAUUAUUCAUUGACUUGUCGAAAGUAAUAGAAGUGUUCAUCAAUCAAGGGAAAAUAAACAAAACCCUCAAAGAGUUUGAUUUUUUGCACUAAAAUUUGAGAUGUUUUACUCUAACUCCAAGCACUUUGCAGUUUCCAAAGUGUUUGUCAUUUUUUCUCUCUCUAGUUGCACAAAAUUCCAUAAGUGUACGGACUUGCCAAGUAGUAAUACAUAUUAUUAUCUUAUCCAUAGUGAUUAAUUUAACAACUAUCAAACUAUUCAAGAUUUUAUAUUAUUUAGACUAAUUAAAAUUAUUGUUGAUUCACGAUAAUGAAAUCGCAACGAUAACAUAAAAAUUAUAAUGAGAAUUUUAAAUUAAUGCAAAAUAAACAUAGGGUCAUAGUUUUACUUGUAAUAUCGAUACCUCAAGUUCUAGUUUUAUACGAAUUCUUAUAUAUUUUCUCAAUUAUCAAUUUCUCUUUAAAACUAUUAACAAAGAUCCGUCAUUCAAUGUUAUUAAUAGUUGAGAGUUAGAAGGAAUGUCAAGCAGAGAUCAAUGUCAAACAAAAUUUAAAUCAAUACAGUUUAGUAUACAAGCAAGGUUAAGUAUGUAAAGACAUUUGCAGAUCCUAUAACACCCUAAAUUUUAUAAUAAACUAUUUGAUUAAUUAAAUAGGAUUUUAAAUAAUUAAUUUGAUGUUAAAAUUAUUAUAAAAUAUAUAUUAAUAAAUUUUGUGAUUAACUUUCGUUAUAUGGAUGUUUUCUAUGAUGUGCUAGUUUGAUAUACAUUAUAUUAAAUGAGCGAUAUAAAUAAUAAAAUUUAUUUUAUUAUAUUAUAUAUUUUUUUAAAAGCAAUAGUAUUUUAGUCCAAUAUUUUGAAGAAUAAGCAUUUAUGUGAUUUUACGUGUAUAUUCGCGCACCCAAUUAAUAUAACAUUCUUUUAUGCGUUUGACUAAUAUUAAAUGUGUACUUAAUUAUAUUUAUUUAAUUCAAAAUAUAUUUUAUUUUAAUUAUUUAUUUUAUAAAUUAUUAUCUUGAGAUAGUGAUAAUAUUGUGUUUGAUUUUCUUUAUUUUUAUAUAUUUAUUAUGAUAUUGUGAUUAUAUAUAUAUAUAUAUAUAUAUAUAUAUAGUAUGAUUUAGUAAUUAAUAUAAAGUGUUGAUUUUAUAUUUAUUUAUUUUAUAAUUUUGACUAUUCUCUAAUGAUAUAUUAUUAUAACGUGAGUAUUUUGAAAAAUAAGUAUAAUUAUAGUGAUUAAUUUGAAUAUGAGAGUUUGAGUUGGAAAGGUUAAUUAAUAUGUAUUUUUUUAAAAGGUUAAUUAUUUUAAUUUCUCUAAUUUAUCAAGUAUUAUUUUUGAAAUAUUAGUAAUUAAAUUUUGUUAAGAAAAAUAACUUUGGAAAUUUUUGGUUUUAUUAAAAAAAAAAGAUUAAAUGUGUUUCAUGGGAUAAGCCAAGUAAAACCUAAUUAAAGAAUAAAACCAAACCAAAAAAUAGAGGAAGAGAAAGAUACGACACGACAGCUGCUGCUCCCAAGGGGAAUUGGAACAAAAUUAGAAGAAAAUUGACACCGGUGAUCGACAACUGUUCCAGAAAAGUUUCUCUGUUUUUGUCCAAAUUCAGUAUGUUAUUUUACUCAAUUAACUAGUCAAUUAAACACGAUUUUCCAUAUAUUUAACAACCCCAAUUUCUCUAUAAAAUAUUUUAUUUCUCCGUUUGUAGAAUUCGUUAUUUUGCAUCGUUCUCCUUCACCGUAUGUCCGAUUUGAGUGAAACCAACGCCAAAACGUCAGUGUGAAAAGUGGCUAUAUUAUCCACUGAUUUGUUUUCUGAUUCAUGGUGAUUUUCCUCGACCGAAUUUCGAAUUUAGUUUUUAGAGUAUCUUCUCAUAAUUUACUUUUAAUGUUUACCCAUAAAUUGUCGAGUUAGAUCAAUUGAUGGACAAAAAGUCAAUGAACAAAUGUUGUUUGCUCGUGGAAUCCUAUUCGUGUGUGAAAGCGUCGAAAUAAGGUAAGGGGUGAGAGAGCAUUUGAAUUAAUGAGUAUAAUAUAUUGUGAGCUGAACGGGAAAACCGUAUUUCCCAACGAUUCAUCCGGGGCUCGCUACGUACGGCAAUAUCCCUUUGAGUGAUAAAUUGAUUAAUGUAAAAAUAUGAUAAUUGUGAGAUUAAAAUAUGGAAUAGAAAUAUUUAUAACGUGUUAAUUGAUUUAACUCCGUUGAAUGUGUGGUAUUUGAUUUAUUUUUAUUAAAUGUGAGAUAUUUGCUAUUAUUGUGAUAUUGGAUGUCGCAUGAAUUUUAUGUAUAUGUUUGAUUAGACGUGUCUAUGUGAUGUGAUAAUAAAAAGUAAAUUCAUUUUGAUAAGUUAAUGUAAUUAUGAUGAUGUAUAAUUAAUAAUAAUGAUGUUAUAAAUUUGUGAUAAGUGUAUGUGAUGAUGUAUGGUUAAUGAUAGUGAUGCUAUAAAUUUGUGAUGAGUUAGUGUGAUUGAGAAUAGUCACAAUGACAAAUGAUAUAAAUUGUAAGUAAAGUUAACAUUAUCCUUUUUUUUUUAUCAUUGCCAUGGAAUUGAGAUUUUGCAAUUUAAUACAAAAGUUUAGGAAUUGAUAAAAUUAUACAGUAAUAUAAAAGUUUAUUAGUUUGAUAUAUAUAUAUAUAUAUUUUUAUUAUUAUUACAUUAAUUUUUAUUAUCUAAAAUUUUAUUUUAAAGAAAUUCAACAAAUAUAUGUUAACAGGGAGCUCCUAAUAUGAUCUCCAAUUUAUAGGGUCCACCUGUGUUACUCAAUCGUUACCAACUAUAAUAGUUUUUUCUUUCUUUCUUUUUUUAGAAUUUAAGAAAAAAAUCGGUUAUUUUAACUAGGAGGUAUUAUUAACAUUAUGCCUUUAUAUUUAAUCCAAAAAUCCUAAAAAUAAAAUAAAAAAAUGUUAAAAAAGAAGAAAAAAAAUUAAAAACACCAAGCUGAAUUUCCCUCCUCACCUUCGGUUGAAUUCAGAUAUUUUUUAAUAAUUUAUCUUUAACCAAAGUUUAUUAAUUAUUUGAGCUAUUAUUUGAUUAAGUGUCCAUUCUCUUUUAUACAUUGAACAUUGAUAUAAUUAAAACAAACACCUAUUUUAUUUUUUUUUAAAUUGUAAUAAAUAAAUAAAUUCCCGGUAAGAGUUUAGGAGACAAAUGUCAAAUCUCAUCUCAGAAAGUUGUAAAAUGACGAAUAUUUACACUUUGAUUAAUAAUAAUUUAUCCCUUCUCUUUUUAUUUAAAUAAAUAAAAUUAUAACAACUAAAUUAUAAAGGAUAAAAAGGGAUUUUUUUGUUAAAAUAAUAAAAGUAAAAUUAAUUAAAAAUAAUGAUAAAUUACAAAUUAAAAAGCUAGUUGAGGUAACAUAUUAAAAAAAUGCUUUAAGUUAGUAAAAUAAUUAUAAACUUAUAAUGAUUAACAAAUAAAUAUUUUUUUAAUAUGAUUUAAUAAGUUAACUUAUUUGUCAGCAGACUCUUAACUUUUAUACUUCGGAAAUUUCUAAGAACAGACUUAUAGUAUUUAAAACAAGAGUUGAGAUUAUAAAGAUGGUCCAAAUUUUUUACCCCUUAAAAAUUUGAAACAUAAUUUAUUCACAUUUAAAAAAGAAACAAAAUGUAAAAUUUUAGCAUUAGUCUUAAUGUAAGCUAAACAAACCUUAAAUCUUAAUAAAAACAAAGCGGAGAAGUGUAGGUUUUAAUGUUCUGAAUUUUUUAAAUUAGAAAGUUUCGUUAGUGUUAGUCUUAGUGUAGCUUAAGUAAACGCUGACUCUAAAAUAAAAAUAAAAUAAAAUAAAAAAUUAGAGACGAAAUUUAAUUUUAAAGUUUUCACUUUUUAAAACACUAGAAUACCAGAUUUUUGUAACAUUUUAAAAAGUUUGAAUUUUUUUUCCACAUUUAUAUAAAUGGGGUUAAAAAAUUUGAAUUUUUUUUCCAUAUUUAUAAAAAUGGGGCAGCAGACAUAUAAUUUUGGUUGGUUUUUGGGUAUAUAAUUUUUUUUGAAAUCUCCAAUUUUAAGUAAAUAGAGUCUUAAUAUCUGAAGUUCACAUAAUAGAUAAAUAGAAUUUAACAAAAGAAAUUAUUUUAAUUUUAAAACUCAAAUUUUCAUGAAUAAUUUAUUAUGAAUUGAAAUUAAAUGCAACAGAACUAAAAAAAUAUAAAGAAAUUAAAUGCAACAGAACUAAAAAAAAUUAAAUGCAUGCGAAAAAGAUUUAGUAGUCAACGGUAAAAAAAAAGAUUUGAUUUUUUCGGUUUUGAAGAUUUGAUUUGAUUAUUAACCUUAUAAAAACAGAGCCAACACACUCCAAACAUAUAGUGAAUUGAAUUGAACAUUGUUAUUCUUGUUCCAUUUUCUUUUGUUUGUUCUCCAUACACAUAACACAAUGAGUUCUUUAUCGGUAAUGAAUUUGGAGAAUACUAAACAACCUCGUAAGCGACUUAUAAUCAAGUUUUCUUCUCAAAAGAAUCAUUCUCAAGGAGAUAUUAAGAUGGAACAUUCCAAGCCAAUUGUUACAUGUUUCUGGCUUGACGCUAAAGAUUCAACAGCUAUUAUGUCUCAACAAAACAACAACACAACAACCGAUUCUGUCAAAGAUUCAAAACCCAUCUUGUCUAAAGAAGUUGGUGUGCAAGUAAUGAAGGAUUCUUGUUCCAAGAAGAUUAUCAAUGAAACAAGAAACCCAAGAACCGAAAAUUGUUGCUUGAAGACUGAUGGCGGUGAGAUCAUGAAUGAAAAGAGAAAGAAGCCGAUGCAACAUUACAAGAAGAUGCAAUGUUGGGUGAUUUUGAAGAGGAUUUUGAUUGGAAGAGAUAGCUGGCCUCUAAAAGACCCUAUUGAUCUCAAGUUCUUGAAGGCUUUUCAUGACAAGGAUAAUUUAGAGAACAAGUCUAAAUUGAAGACUAUGGGUUUGAAGAAUAUUGAAUCUAAAUUGCAAUUCUAUUCAACACCCGAUGAAUUUGCUACUGACAUCAGAUUUGUAUUCUCUCAAAGAAUGUUAUUAUAUCCUCCUAGAAAUGAGGUUCAUAAAAUUGCGUUAAAGUUUAGUGAAUAUUUUGAAAACAAAUGGAAGUCUCUCAAAAAAGAUUGGGACCUUGAGGAAAGAAAAAUAAACAAGAGAAAAAGGGAUGAACAUGCUCAUGAGAUGAAAGACUUCUUCCAAACCAAAAGGUCAAGAUAAGAUAUGCAAGACAACAACCCGUUUCUUUUGCAUGUUGCCAUCGUCACUUUAGUAUUAACACUGCUAUGUAUAUACUAGAUAUUUUGUCAAUUUUCACAACAUAUUGUUAUUGUUCUUAUUCUUGUAUUUGUGUCCAAUUGGCAAUACAAAACAUAUUGUUCUUAUUCUUGUAUUUCUGUCUAAUUGGCAAUACAAAACAUGAUUUUGCUACUUUUCUCUCUUUAUUACAUGUGUGUUUAAAGUUUAAUAUCAAUUACAAUUGUGUUUAAUGUUAAAUCUUAUUUUUUUUUUAAACUUUUCGUUAGAAUGAUCUAACUUUGUUACAAAAUUUAAAAUAGUUAGAAGUAACUUAAAUUCAAUUUUUUUUUCUAAGUAUGUUGACUAUCGAUAACCUGUUGCUUAUUUUUUAAAGAUAAUAUUGAUGGUUUAAAAAUAACAUAAUUAAUGAAAUAAAUAACAUUUUUCAUUUAUUUAUUUUAUAUUUUAUAUUAAAUUUAUUUGUUAUACAUUGUCUUAGUAAAAAAUAAUUUCGUGCAGAGCCAAUUUAGAAAAUUUUACAUUAUCAUCACAUCACAAUAUUUAUAGACAUGAUUUUAGAGCUAGUUAUGAAAAAAAUCAAACACAUCUAAUAAAUGUGAUUGACAGAUAACGUAACAACUUUGUACACUAAAUAUGUAUAUAAUUAAAUCCUAGAUUCUCGUUAUUUUUUGUUGAAAUUAUUAAAAAUAAAUAUUUUUUUAUGGGAAUAUUAUUUUGAUAUUGAAACAUAAUUUAAGAACCAAUUCAAAUGCAGUAAUCUUUUCAGAGAAACAUUCACUAAUUUAAAGACUAAGUCAAAUACAAGCGAGCUUCUUUACAUAACAUUAUCUAGUUGAAGAGUUUUACUAUUUUUUUUUUCUUUCUUACAUUAACAAUUAUUUUUACAAAUAAAAUGGUUAUUGCCAGCUUUUAUAGUUUAAGAAAGAUCAUUUCAUACCAAAAAAUAUCAUUUCAUUGUUUAUAACCAUUAUAAAAAAAAUUUAUAUUCGAUCGUAAUAAAUAUUCAACAUUUGACAAUUAUGAGCAAUAAAAAAUCUAAAAAAAAAAUAUAUUUUAUUGACAUUAAUAGAAAAUACUCAAUUAUUUCAAUAUUUAAACGAUAAAAUAUAAUUUUUUUUUAAAAAUUCAUUUUAUUUAAAAACCAAAUGUACCCACCCGUACAUGUCAAAUUGACAAUCGGAUCUACUGUCAACUUAAAAGAGGCGUUUAACUAUGCCUUUGGAACUAUCACUAAAUGUUUUCGAUUUGUAUCUAGAAUAAUGACUGUCACUAAAAACUAAAUAAAUAUAAAUAAAUAUAAAUAAAGAAUUGAUAUAUUUCUACGGUAUUGUCUUUCACUAAAAACUAGAUAAAUAUAAAUAAAAAACCUAUCUAUUUCUAUGGUAUUAUCUGUCACUAAAAACUAAAUAAAUAUAAUAAAGAAUUGAUCUAUUCCUACAAUAUUUGAGGCGUGAUUGUGAAAAAUAAAAGAACAAUAAUAUCCUCGAUAUUUUAUCUAACUACAAAAAAAUAUAUCUCACCCUUAAACUUUUUUCUAGUUAGAGGCCCCACAUGAGUUCCUCCACUCGUUUUUCAAGUUUAUCAUUCCCUUCUUUAUGUGCGUCAAUUUUUCUUACAGCCUAAAGCAAAUGGAAACAGAUAUCAACUGAGAGUAGAGAGAAACACAAAAAUCAUAAAUAAAUAAAAAAUGAGACUGCUUAAAUAUUAAUUGAUGAGUCAUAUAGAAGCAACUUAAUUUUUAUAUAUGAGGUUCCUAAGUUUGGAACUUUCUAUUUUCAGGUUCCUAAGUUCUUUUCUGGCUACACACCAUCUCUAUCGGCAUUGUGUUAGAAUUGAACCUUUCUUCAGCCUCUUAUAAUAUGAGGAAGACUUGUAGCAUUGCUAGCGAGCUUGAAAUUUUUGAGAGAGAAUUUAAACAUUGAAUGCAUAUGUCCUUAACAAAUGGUCAUAAUCCUACAAGAGUCAACUAUAACCUAAAUUGUGAUGAAGCUUUAGUCCGUUUCCUAAAAUUGAACUCUUUAUGGGCAGCGAUUGCCCUCAAAGCUGUUUGAAAAAAGUUAAAGAAGAAACUGUUGACCACAGUAACGAUCAUUAACAUUUUAAGAAACUAUGAAUUGUGGCUUCCUUCCUAUGUUUCUGCAAUAAAACUUCCCUACUGGACAAGCUAUAGACAUUGAACUUCAUUGAUUCAAACAUCUAUUUAAUACUAUUUAUUAUUGAGUAGAUUCAAUCUGAAAAUUUUCAUAAAAUUUAAAAAAUAUUUGAUACUACAAUAUGAUAGCAUACAUAGCAGGUUCAUCAGUGCCAUCAGGGCAAUCACAGAAAUUAUCGUUAAGACGGUCAAUGGAGAAGGCUUUUGAUCCAUCCUUACAUUUGAUGAGGUGAGAGGUAUAAUAUUAAUACAGUGGGUAGAACUAGGGAAGUAAACAAAUAAAUAUUAAUAAGAGAUGGGGGUAUACAAUGUGCAGGGUAAAUGAAUAUGCAAUUGCAAGCAAUGGACCAAUUUUAGGGACUUACAUAUAGAAAAUACGUCAAACAUACCUUAAGUUAAAUGCAAUACUUAAUUCAUAAAUUCUAAUAAUCUUGAAAUUCUAACAGUAUUAAACAUAUGAUCCUUUACAUACUUGUUCCAUAUCAAAUUCUUCAAAUGUAGGAAUUCUAAUUUCCUGAACAGCCACCAGAAAGUUUCUAACGUUUUCAAAAUACUGAAAUGCUGAUAAUGACUCUCCAACCUAUAAAGAAUAAUACAUAAUUUACAUAACUAAACAAAUAAUAACCAAAAACAUAGAGUAAAUAAAAUAAGGAACAUCCAAACUGACAUUGAAUACAUCACCUAGUUGAACUUUGUUAAGAACAUUACAAAGAAUGAUCCCACUCCUCAAACAAAGCCUAAACUCUUCCUUAUAAGUCUCUACGGGUAAAUGUUUAGCUGCAACAACUCCAACCAUUUUUCUCAACCACCAUGCUGCUUCAUAUCUUCUAAAUGUUUCAUUUUAUAGAAUUUAUUUUUCAGUCUCAAAAUAGCUGAUACAAAUUCCAAAUAUCUUUUUAAUAUAAUAUUGACAAAUAUCAACCUUCAUUAAAAUCAAUAUCAUAUAGAAAAGGAUGAUAAUUUGAGACAUUAAUGAAAAAAAACUGAAAACUGAUUAUUCCUAGGAAAUUACCAGCUUAUUCCACUUUUCUAGAUUCCAAAUCAAGAUAUUUGAGGCGAGUACCGUGUUGUUGAAGCACAUCUUCAACCACAGAAGCAACUGAAAACGACAAUGUUACCAAUUCAAGAAAGAAGCAUAUUGAUUCUAUAAUCUAUAACAUUUCCCAUUUUCUCUGUACAAACUGGUACUCCAACUCCACUAACACAACUACCUCUUUCUAUCUCUAUCUAUCUGCUUUACAGUAUACAAUACUCCCCAUUACUCUUCCUUGCUUUGGUUCUCUCCUUACGUCAUGCUUCGACUCCAAACCUCAUUAGCAAUCUAACCUUUCAGAUCCUAUGGAGUCUGAACAGAGACAUCACUCCACAUCUUAUAUUUAUGAACUCUUGUGCUGAUAAAUAGGCCAACAUCGAUAAAGGUGGCCCCAUCACUAUUUGAUUCCUUAGAAAAGGCAUGCGACCUGUCUGCCGCAUUGGGGGUGUAGUUCUCUCAAAUAAUCAAUAAUCUAUGUUAGG